AGAGUUUGAUCCUGGCUCAGAACGAACGCUGGCGGCAGGCCUAACACAUGCAAGUCGAGCGCGCUUUCGGGUGAGCGGCGGACGGGUUAGUAACGCGUGGGAACGUGCCCUUUCUCUACGGAAUAGCCUCUGGAAACGGAGAGUAAUACCGUAUACACCCUUUGGGGGAAAGAUUUAUCGGAGAAGGAUCGGCCCGCGUUAGAUUAGGUAGUUGGUGGGGUAACGGCCUACCAAGCCUACGAUCUAUAGCUGGUUUUAGAGGAUGAUCAGCAACACUGGGACUGAGACACGGCCCAGACUCCUACGGGAGGCAGCGGUGGGGAAUCUUAGACAAUGGGGGCAACCCUGAUCUAGCCAUGCCGCGUGAGUGAUGAAGGCCUUAGGGUCGUAAAGCUCUUUCGCCUGUGAUGAUAAUGACAGUAGCAGGUAAAGAAACCCCGGCUAACUCCGUGCCAGCAGCCGCGGUAAUACGGAGGGGGUUAGCGUUGUUCGGAAUUACUGGGCGUAAAGCGCGCGUAGGCGGAUUAGAAAGUUGGGGGUGAAAUCCCGGGGCUCAACCCCGGAACUGCCUCCAAAACUGCUAGUCUAGAGUUCGAGAGAGGUGAGUGGAAUUCCGAGUGUAGAGGUGAAAUUCGUAGAUAUUCGGAGGAACACCAGUGGCGAAGGCGGCUCACUGGCUCGAUACUGACGCUGAGGUGCGAAAGUGUGGGGAGCAAACAGGAUUAGAUACCCUGGUAGUCCACACCGUAAACGAUGAAUGCCAGUCGUCGGAUAGUAUACUAUUCGGUGACACACCUAACGGAUUAAGCAUUCCGCCUGGGGAGUACGGUCGCAAGAUUAAAACUCAAAGGAAUUGACGG
This 860-nucleotide ribosomal RNA is filed under the name uncultured marine bacterium. RNAcentral describes it as "bacterial SSU rRNA". It matches the Rfam family "Bacterial small subunit ribosomal RNA", at positions 8 to 916 of the family's 1533-position model. The record is from RNAcentral.